UACGAAGGGGGCAAGCGUUGUUCGGAAUUACUGGGCGUAAAGGGCGCGCAGGCGGCCUGACAAGUCAGAUGUGAAAGCCCCGGGCUCAACCUGGGAAUAGCAUUUGGGACUGUUGGGCUAGAGAUCGGGAGAGGAGAGUGGAAUUCCCAGUGUAGAGGUGAAAUUCGUAGAUAUUCGGAAGAACACCAGUGGCGAAGGCGGCUCACUGGCCCGGUACUGACGCUGAGGUGCGAAAGCGUGGGGAGCAAACAGG
This 253-nucleotide ribosomal RNA is filed under the name uncultured bacterium. Its description in RNAcentral is "partial 16S ribosomal RNA". It matches the Rfam family "Bacterial small subunit ribosomal RNA", at positions 524 to 776 of the family's 1533-position model. The record is from RNAcentral.